ACGAACGCUGGCGGCGUGCUUAACACAUGCAAGUCGAACGGAAAGGCCUCUUUCGGGGGGUACUCGAGUGGCGAACGGGUGAGUAACACGUGAGUAACCUGCCCUUGACUUUGGGAUAACUUCAGGAAACUGGGGCUAAUACCGGAUAGGAGCUCCUGCUGCAUGGUGGGGGUUGGAAAGUUUCGGCGGUUGGGGAUGGACUCGCGGCUUAUCAGCUUGUUGGUGGGGUAGUGGCUUACCAAGGCUUUGACGGGUAGCCGGCCUGAGAGGGUGACCGGCCACAUUGGGACUGAGAUACGGCCCAGACUCCUACGGGAGGCAGCAGUGGGGAAUAUUGCACAAUGGGUGGAAGCCUGAUGCAGCGACGCCGUGUGCGGGAUGACGGCCUUCGGGUUGUAAACCGCUUUCGCUCAUGACGAAGCUUUGUGUGACGGUAGUGGGUAAAGAAGCACCGGCUAACUACGUG
Molecule: ribosomal RNA, 466 nt
Filed under: uncultured bacterium
Lineage: Bacteria
Description: partial 16S ribosomal RNA
Rfam family: Bacterial small subunit ribosomal RNA
Source: RNAcentral